Molecule: long non-coding RNA, 559 nt
Organism: Oryzias latipes (Japanese medaka)
Lineage: Eukaryota; Metazoa; Chordata; Actinopteri; Beloniformes; Adrianichthyidae
Source: RefSeq, a predicted model, not a curated record
AUGACUGCAUGUCUUCUACUGGGUUUGUGAUAGGACACAGUGUGAGCGGGUGUGACUGCUUGUUGAAAGGCCAUGCUGUGUUGGUGUGCAGACCCUAAUUCUGCUUAUGGACAGCACGUGUUUGUGCAUGUGCGUCUCCCCAUAACAGUCAGCCUCCCUCCUCAGAGCAGAUGAGACGUGGUCCUCACCAGAUUCUUCAUCCAUAAUGAAGCUGACAGCAGAGGAAGUGACAAACAGUUGCAAUAUGGUACACGGGAUAGUGAGAAGCAGGAGUGUGACAAGCGAGAGGAAAGGUGGUGGAGGUUGAUGCAACAGGACAGAGAUGUGUGGCAGCCAUUUUUAUCCAGCUUUGAAGGAGACACAAAGCAGGACUGAAAGAGAACAUCUUUCAGUUAAGAGCCAUGAGAAAAAGCUUUCUUAAAAGCGCCAUCUCUAACCAGGGUGACCCCCGGCUUAGCUCCAGCAACCUCAUGACCCUGGAAGUGAUUCAGCCAGUUUAGGAAAUGGCAACAAUAAAUAAUAAAACUCAUCAGAUGAACAAAUAUGUGUGUCUUGUCAG